CCUACGGGUGGCAGCAGUGGGGAAUAUUGCGCAAUGGGCGAAAGCCUGACGCAGCGACGCCGCGUGAGGGAUGAAGGUCUUCGGAUCGUAAACCUCUGUCAGCAGGGAAGAACGGUCACUGUGCUAAUCAGCCGUGAAUUGACGGUACCUGCAAAGGAAGCACCGGCUAACUCCGUGCCAGCAGCCGCGGUAAUACGUGGGGUGCGAGCGUUAAUCGGAAUUACUGGGCGUAAAGCGGUCGUAGGCGGUAUGUCAAGUCAAGGGUGAAAUCCCCGGGCUCAACGCGGGAACUGCCUUUGAAACUGGCAAACUGGAGUGAGUGAGAGGAGAGUGGAAUUCCAGGUGUAGGAGUGAAAUGCGUAGAUAUCGGGAGGAACACCAGUGGCGAAGGCGACUAACUGGGACAUAACUGACGCUGAGGAGCGAAAGCGUGGGUAGCAAACUGGAUUAGAUACCCGGGUAGUC
This 465-nucleotide ribosomal RNA is filed under the name uncultured bacterium. RNAcentral describes it as "partial 16S ribosomal RNA". It matches the Rfam family "Bacterial small subunit ribosomal RNA", at positions 338 to 795 of the family's 1533-position model. The record is from RNAcentral.